GAAAAUGAAAAUCCAACUAUAGCACAGCAAAACAAGUCAAAUUACAAUAAAAAUGUAUGAGAAAAGAAGAGAGGGAAGAGAGGAAGAUAAGAGAGAUUUUAAAGAAUAAGAAAAAGAGGCCUACAUCGAGCUUUAGAAUGCAAACAUUCAAUAUUGAAUUUUCAGAGAUAUUCCAAAUGAUUCUAGUUUACUGAAUGGGAAAAAUUCAAACUACCUAAGUAGCAUAACAUCAGUGAAAAAUAAACAGAUAUCUAAAAUUCCUAUAAAGAAGCCAUCAGAAUGUGCCAAAAAGUAGAGUGAAACUAAGGCUGGAUGAUAAUUCCACCAGCAAAAUGGUGAAAGUGUCACUAAGACAUUUUUAUCCCAUCUGGAAUUAUACAAAGAGGAAAUAAUUAUGACGAAAAAUAUCUUAACACAACCACAGUAAGCCUUAGCAUUCAAUUAAAUAUAAAAACAAAACAAAAGUCUCAAAAGAAAAUGCAUAAAGUUAGAAGACAACGCUAAGUUUAAAUUUACAGCAGGGAAGCAAAUGCAUUAUUAUAUCUGGACAACAAUAUCAUACUAGGGAAUCACGCUUAAGGCCAUAAAUUUGACAAGGAAAAUUUGAACUAGUACAGUGCAUGAACCAUGGCACACCUGUAAUAGAUCCAAAACCUGGCUAAAGCCUAAAACAACUGUAUAAAACAGAUAAAGAAGUAGGAAAGCACCCAUUGUUAACCUUAACACUUCGCCCACCCCCCAACCCCCAUUUUGUACCAAAAUUAGCAGUCAAUUCAGGUCCACCAUUUUUUUAAAGCAACGAGAAUUCAUGUUCAUCAGUUAACGCCAUUUAAGUUCACAUCUCCAUAACACAAAAUAUCAUGUCUGUGCCAAUAUCCAGACCUGUACCGCCUUCAUCUUCCUAUUAUUUUCUUUAUUUUACCGGUAAAUACACCAGAGAGUCACACAACCAAAUAGGAUAAUACCAUGAUUUUACCAUCCAACCUAUCCUCAAGGAAAACAGAGAUGCAUUGGAUUCUAAGCCAUUGACAUGGCUUUCAUCUUGUCCUUUACAACACCACCUUCAUGGAAAUUGCCAGAUGCCACUGCCAGACCCCAUUAGAAUGUUAAAAUCAUCUUCCAGAACUUUCUGUCUACUGGUCUAAAUUUUCACAACCUAUGAAUGAGGCUAUUAACACCUAACACGUGCAAGUAAUUAUCAUUUUACACCUUCGUGUGUCCAAUUAAUUCCUUCGCUAUGUCCUCAAACAAGCAUACCCAAAUGUGCAUAUCCUUUGUGUGUCACAACUCAUAAGUCAUAAUUAACUUUGAAUAACAGCAAUUGGACUCAAGUUCAGUUCUAGUCCUCAGUCAAUCAAGCCACAACCAAGAGAAUUGUUUAAAUUAGGUCAGUAUACCUAUGUAUCGUGCAUAUAACAAUAACUCAAAUAGAAGCUUACCAUGACACAAAAUUAGCAGCCCACACAAGAUACUUUAAGCCAGAAAAUAGCACUGUUAGAAACUGGCUGGGUAGAAUAUGAAACAAAGCUCAACUUGCCCUCACUCCUCAACAAGACAACAACAAUCGAUUUAACACAGGUUCAACAAGUAUUGUAGUGGCUGGCAUUGACCUCAGUUAAAUGGAAUCGAUAAAAUUUGUUAUAAAAAGCACAAAUUAGUCAUUGGUCAGAGAUAGAAAGGUGCCUGCUAGUGUUACUGUUACCGUAAAUUGUGGUCUGUCUAGUCUAUCUUGAUAUUUUGUAGGCAGGAAAGUAAUAGGAUUCUGAAGAAUUAAAUAUUGGAUUCAGAAAAUUUUUAAUGACUUUCAUAAAAUUUCUAUCUGAAAAGAAAUUCUUUUGGGGAAAACACACCAGAAUCUCAUUUUUAACCUUAGGGAAGAUUCAGAAAAGUAAAAACAGAUAAAGACAUGAUGAAGCUCAAACCUUGUUUAGAGAAACUCACAAUUUGGAGUGUUUUCAUUCAACAAUAUCAAGUUUUCUCACUGGUCAAUCAUGGAAAUUGACAAACGCGAUACACAGAUGAUUGCUUGAAACUAUAAUAAAAACUAUCCUAAUCACCCUUGCAAAAGAAAUCACUUCAACGGUUAAAAAUAAUGGGCAAUGCAUCUAAUGCUAAAUACAAAUAAGUUAAACAAAAUGAUCCUGUAGGUGUAUACUGACUAGUCUAUCACUUAAAGACAGUUGCCAAGUGCUCAGUCUGGUCCAUGGAACAAUAUUGGCUAUUUCUUGUCGUUGACAAAGAAAGAAAAGGCAUAACAGAACAGAGAUGGGCACAGUUGAAAUCACAAAAACAAAUAUAAUGUAUUGGAAAAGCUAUCCACCACAUCAUGCAAAUAAAUGUAAAUGAAUUUUACCUCUGACGAUUUGUCUUGAGGUUCAAACCGCUCAGCAAAUGCUCUUGAAGCAUUAGAAAACUCAGCACCAUUUGCAAUUCCAUUAUCUGACACAGAACCCCUCGGCGAAGACCCUUCCUCAGACCCUUCUGGAACAGGAGAAGGCGGUUGAGGUGGAGAAACAUAG
RNAcentral lists this unclassified non-coding RNA (2519 nucleotides) under Hevea brasiliensis (rubber tree). Lineage: Eukaryota; Viridiplantae; Streptophyta; Magnoliopsida; Malpighiales; Euphorbiaceae. The record is from RNAcentral.